UACGGGGGGAGCAAGCGUUGUUCGGAUUUACUGGGCGUAAAGGGCGCGUAGGCGGUCGUGACAAGUCACUUGUGAAAUCUCCGGGCUUAACUCGGAACGGUCAAGUGAUACUGUCGGACUAGAGUACAGAAGGGGCAACUGGAAUUCUCGGUGUAGCGGUGGAAUGCGUAGAGAUCCGGAAGAACACCGGUGGCGAAGGCGGCCCGCUGGGCAAUGGCUGACACUGAGGCGCGACAGCGUGGGGAGCAAACAGG
RNAcentral lists this ribosomal RNA (254 nucleotides) under uncultured bacterium. RNAcentral describes it as "partial 16S ribosomal RNA". It matches the Rfam family "Bacterial small subunit ribosomal RNA", at positions 524 to 776 of the family's 1533-position model. The record is from RNAcentral.